AUUGAACGCUGGCGGCAGGCCUAACACAUGCAAGUCGAGCGGAUGAAGGGAGCUUGCUCCUGGAUUCAGCGGCGGACGGGUGAGUAAUGCCUAGGAAUCUGCCUGGUAGUGGGGGAUAACGUCCGGAAACGGGCGCUAAUACCGCAUACGUCCUGAGGGAGAAAGUGGGGGAUCUUUGAACCUCACGCUAUCAGAUGAGCCUAGGUCGGAUUAGCUAGUUGGUGGGGUAAAGGCCUACCAAGGCGACGAUCCGUAACUGGUCUGAGAGGAUGAUCAGUCACACUGGAACUGAGACACGGUCCAGACUCCUACGGGAGGCAGCAGUGGGGAAUAUUGGAUAAUGGGCGAAAGCCUGAUCCAGCCAUGCCGCGUGUGUGAAGAAGGUCUUCGGAUUGUAAAGCACUUUAAGUUGGGAGGAAGGGCAGUAAGUUAAUACCUUGCUGUUUUGACGUUACCAACAGAAUAAGCACCGGCUAACUUCGUG
Molecule: ribosomal RNA, 484 nt
Filed under: uncultured bacterium
Lineage: Bacteria
Description: partial 16S ribosomal RNA
Rfam family: Bacterial small subunit ribosomal RNA
Source: RNAcentral